This 465-nucleotide ribosomal RNA is filed under the name uncultured bacterium. Its description in RNAcentral is "bacterial SSU rRNA". It matches the Rfam family "Bacterial small subunit ribosomal RNA", at positions 926 to 1391 of the family's 1533-position model. The record is from RNAcentral.
CAAGCGGUGGAGCAUGUGGUUUAAUUCGAUGCAACGCGAAGAACCUUACCUGCUCUUGACAUCCACCGAAUUUAGCAGAGAUGCUUUAGUGCCUUCGGGAACUGUGAGACAGGUGCUGCAUGGCUGUCGUCAGCUCGUGUUGUGAAAUGUUGGGUUAAGUCCCGCAACGAGCGCAACCCUUAUCCUUUGUUGCCAGCGAUACGGUCGGGAACUCAAAGGAGACUGCCGGUGAUAAACCGGAGGAAGGUGGGGAUGACGUCAAGUCAUCAUGGCCCUUACGAGUAGGGCUACACACGUGCUACAAUGGCGCAUACAAAGAGAAGCGACCUCGCGAGAGCAAGCGGACCUCAUAAAGUGCGUCUUAGUCCGGAUUGGAGUCUGCAACUCGACUCCAUGAAGUCGGAAUCGCUAGUAAUCGUGGAUCAGAAUGCCACGGUGAAUACGUUCCCGGGCCUUGUACACACC